RNAcentral lists this ribosomal RNA (506 nucleotides) under uncultured bacterium. RNAcentral describes it as "partial 16S ribosomal RNA". It matches the Rfam family "Bacterial small subunit ribosomal RNA", at positions 29 to 523 of the family's 1533-position model. The record is from RNAcentral.
AGUGAACGCUGGCGGUAGGCCUAACACAUGCAAGUCGAACGGCAGCACAGGAGAGCUUGCUCUCUGGGUGGCGAGUGGCGGACGGGUGAGGAAUACAUCGGAAUCUACUUUUUCGUGGGGGAUAACGUAGGGAAACUUACGCUAAUACCGCAUACGACCUACGGGUGAAAGCAGGGGACCUUCGGGCCUUGCGCGAUUGAAUGAGCCGAUGUCGGAUUAGCUAGUUGGCGGGGUAAAGACCCACCAAGGCGACGAUCCGUAGCUGGUCUGAGAGGAUGAUCAGCCACACUGGAACUGAGACACGGUCCAGACUCCUACGGGAGGCAGCAGUGGGGAAUAUUGGACAAUGGGCGCAAGCCUGAUCCAGCCAUACCGCGUGGGUGAAGAAGGCCUUCGGGUUGUAAAGCCCUUUUGUUGGGAAAGAAAUCCAGCUGACUAAUACCCGGUUGGGAUGACGGUACCCAAAGAAUAAGCACCGGCUAACUUCGUGCCAGCAGCCGCCGUAA